Molecule: ribosomal RNA, 460 nt
Filed under: uncultured bacterium
Lineage: Bacteria
Description: partial 16S ribosomal RNA
Rfam family: Bacterial small subunit ribosomal RNA
Source: RNAcentral
CCUACGGGGGGCAGCAGUGAGGAAUAUUGGUCAAUGGGCUUACGCCUGAACCAGCCAAGUCGCGUGAGGGAAGACUGCCCUAUGGGUUGUAAACCUCUUUUAUCAGGGAGCAACGCCGGCUACGUGUAGCCGGACUGAGAGUACCUGAAGAAAAAGCAUCGGCUAACUCCGUGCCAGCAGCCGCGCUAAUACGGAGGAUGCGAGCGUUAUCCGGAUUUAUUGGGUUUAAGGGGUGCGUAGGCGGAAUGCCAAGUCAGCGGUAAAAUCGCGGGACUCAACCUCGCUCCGCCGUUGAAACUGGCGGUCUUGAGUGGGCGAGAAGUAUGUGGAAUGCGUGGUGUAGCGGUGAAAUGCAUAGAUAUCACGCAGAACUCCGAUUGCGAAGGCAGCAUACCGGCGCCCAACUGACGCUGAAGCACGAAAGCGUGGGUAUCGAACAGGAUUAGAUACCCGGGUAGUC